UUCAGGCCGCCGCGCCGCCAACGGACGCCGGGGACCACACCGCCGCCCCUUCCCUCCCAGCGCCGGCGCGCCACGUGAGCCCUUGACUCCAUCCCUCCCCCGCCGCGCGUCAACGAUGUGAGUGUCGUGGUCUCUUAUCCCCUUGAUUUGUUUUCGUUCUUUAUUGAUCUAUUAAUCUGUUAUAAUGCUAGAUAGAUAGGGCUCAAAUGUGCUUGUUCACGAGUGAUUUUUAGAUAAUGUUUGAACUCUCUGUUGUCUGAUUUGGUAAAAUGGAUCUGCAAGUCGGCCCAGACAUGGCGGCGGAGGGCGACCAAGUCAGCGAUCCAGACGGCGACCUGGGCACGGCGGCGGAAGGCGCGACGGCGGAGGGAGAAGCCGUGAUUGUCGUGCUUCCUUCGGCGAGCUCAGCUGCGGCAUCGUCGGCGUGGCCACAAGGGAAUAUGGCAUCAAAAGUAUAUGGGAGCCCUAAAUUGUAGGGGAGGUUUGGCAGAGAUUGAAGGGGGUUAAAUCCCAUACAAGUCAAAUACCCCCCAAAUCCCCUCCAAUCCCCUUGGGACAAGGUGUAAUUAACCGAACAAAGCCUUAGGAGUCUCUUUUCAUUUCAGAUUAGUUUCCAUGACACACCUCAUCUCAUGGCCUCCUAGACAGAUCUCUUGCAGUAAAACAUAGAUAUUUGACUUCAGCGAGACAUCAAAGCAUUUCCAAAUAACCUCGAGUCUACGAUGACUUUGUAAUUAAAAUUUAUAUGCA
Molecule: long non-coding RNA, 750 nt
Organism: Aegilops tauschii subsp. strangulata
Lineage: Eukaryota; Viridiplantae; Streptophyta; Magnoliopsida; Poales; Poaceae
Source: RefSeq, a predicted model, not a curated record